UCUUAGCUUGCUAAGGCCGAUGGCGACCGGCGCACGGGUGAGUAACACGUAUCCAACCUUUCGUCUACUCUUGGACAGCCUUCUGAAAGGAAGAUUAAUACAAGAUGGCAUCAUGAGUCCGCAUGUUCACAUGAUUAAAGGUAUUCCGGUAGACGAUGGGGAUGCGUUCCAUUAGAUAGUAGGCGGGGUAACGGCCCACCUAGUCUUCGAUGGAUAGGGGUUCUGAGAGGAAGGUCCCCCACAUUGGAACUGAGACACGGUCCAAACUCCUACGGGAGGCAGCAGUGAGGAAUAUUGGUCAAUGGGCGAGAGCCUGAACCAGUCAAGUAGCGUGAAGGAUGACUGCCCUAUGGGUUGUAAACUUCUUUUAUAAAGGAAUAAAGUCGGGUAUGCAUACCCGUUUGCAUGUACUUUAUGAAUAAGGAUCGGCUAACUCCGUGCCAGCAGCCGCGGUAAUACGGAGGAUCCGAGCGUUAUCCGGAUUUAUUGGGUUUAAAGGGAGCGUAGAUGGAUGUUUAAGUCAGUUGUGAAAGUUUGCGGCUCAACCGUAAAAUUGCAGUUGAUACUGGAUAUCUUGAGUGCAGUUGAGGCAGGCGGAAUUCGUGGUGUAGCGGUGAAAUGCUUAGAUAUCACGAAGAACUCCGAUUG
RNAcentral lists this ribosomal RNA (648 nucleotides) under uncultured Bacteroides sp. Its description in RNAcentral is "bacterial SSU rRNA". It matches the Rfam family "Bacterial small subunit ribosomal RNA", at positions 73 to 715 of the family's 1533-position model. The record is from RNAcentral. Lineage: Bacteria; Pseudomonadati; Bacteroidota; Bacteroidia; Bacteroidales; Bacteroidaceae.